Molecule: unclassified non-coding RNA, 231 nt
Filed under: Hevea brasiliensis (rubber tree)
Lineage: Eukaryota; Viridiplantae; Streptophyta; Magnoliopsida; Malpighiales; Euphorbiaceae
Source: RNAcentral
AAAAAAGGGAUAACCAAAAGCCUCCCAUUUUCAAAGAGGCUUUUAUAUCUACAAAUUCCAUAAUUCUUUCAAACCUCUCUUCUCACAUUUUCAACCCCCCCAACAACAAAGAACACACCAGAAGGGCUAAUAAUGAAACCAACCAGCACAUGCUUUUCCUUCAUUAUUAGUUUAGAAAAAUUAUUUCUUCCCUUAAACAGUUGGGUUGCUCCUGAAUGACCCAAGAGCCUU